Molecule: small nucleolar RNA, 132 nt
Filed under: Monopterus albus (swamp eel)
Lineage: Eukaryota; Metazoa; Chordata; Actinopteri; Synbranchiformes; Synbranchidae
Description: Small nucleolar RNA SNORA42/SNORA80 family (ENSMALG00000001951.1)
Source: RNAcentral
GCAUGUUUUGAUUUGAGAUUUGACCCAAACAUAUGGUCCGGUCUCAGUGUACGACAUGCCACAUCAGCAUGGCUCCGAACCAUUGGCUGGUCCCAAACAAUGGACUUGAUCACUGAAGCGAGUCAGACACCA